UUCUCACUGAUUUAAGUUAAAUAUUCUAGUCUUUAGAGAAUGGGUCACAUGACUCAGGAAUUGCCAACAGCCUGUUUUCACCCAGCGGCUUCCUGGUUUACCCCCUUUAGGAGAUGAUUAAUGGAAAUUGAGAAUGUGUCUCAUAAAUUACUUUUUUUUUUUUUAAAGCAGCACAGUUUUAGGAACUUUUCGAGACAGAACAGCUCAGCCAGCCUAGACUUCCACUUGUCCUCCCUCCUCCCACUCCUGCCAAUUAACACCAGUCACCAGAGGCAAGAACCGCCUAGAUCAGAAGCGACCCCAGGAACCAGGCUUCAGCACCCCUGAUCUUCAUCAAUAUUUUCUCAACUUGCCUAAUCAUAGGACUGAGCUAUAAUUCUUUAAAAAAAAAAAAAAAACAAAACCCCAACCACACACACACAAACAGAGACAGGGUCUCGCUAUGUUGCUCAGGCUGGUCUGGAACUCCUGGCCUCAAGCCAUCCUCCCAUUCGGGCCUCCCAAAGUACUGGGAUUACAGGCCUGAGCCACCGCAUCCAGCCCUAGGCUGGAAUUCUUAACCCCACUCCUGCUGCUUUUUGCAGGCCUCACUUCUGACUCACUGGGUCUAAGUUUCCGGGAGAGAGCCUCUGGACCCUGUGUUCUAGGCAAACGCCCCUAAGUAACAGCUCCCACUUCAGAUGAGCUUAAUCUGUGCCAGGUAGUGUUAAGUGCCCUCAAUUAACUCAUGUUAUCCUCACAAGAACCUGCAAGUUAAGAAAUUUGCCCAAGAGCACACAGUUAUCAAAGGACGGAGCCGGAAGUCCAACCUGGCUAUAACUGUAGAGACCACAAACUAGGAGGCAGUGGCUUCUCAGGCAGAAACACAAAGAUUCUAAGCCGAGAACAAGAACUAGAGGACCUGGGUGGGGCUGUGUACUGCCCAGAUGGUGCUAAUGGCAGUUCAAAGGUGAGUGUUUCCUGUAAGUUGGGCCAGCGCCCAGCCUCUGCUCCCCCAGAACCUGGGAGGGCAGCACCCAAGAUAACCUGAGCACCCCGUUACCUUGGAGCCCUGAGGCUGUCUCUGGGCCACCCACUCAAGGUGGCCCCCCUACCUGCUCAAGGCUACAUACAGAGGGCUGUCCUGCCCAAACAGCCACACCCGAGGGCCGACCCAGUGCUCUGUGUGCCAAGGGAGUUUCUGGCAGAGCCACCUGAUACCCCACGUGACAGCUGGCCUCUCCCCCAUCACCCAGGGGCUACCCAGGCAGAGAGCUGAGAACACAGGGGCCAUCAGCCUCGCUAUCACCUCCACCCCCAAGUGCUUGGCUCCCCAAGGGACAGCUCUAAAAUCCCCAGAAUCUCAGGCUGGUGGGUCCAGCUGAGCAUCCUAGUUUUCACUUUCUCCUCCCAAAAAGGAAAGAACCUUGGUCACUAAAUUCUACGCCUUCUGGAAAUCACUCUGCUAAUGACUUCCUGAAUGAUCGACUGAGACCAACAGCUGGCCCAGCCCUGCAUGGAGGAGUAAGAAACCCUCAUCUGUCAGAGUUAAGGGGCCUGAAUGGGUACAGGUCACAUUCUUGGAGCUCAAGGUGACAGGCCAGAGCCCAGGUCCCCAGGACAGUGCAGCACCUUGUCCAGGCGGGCCUCCCGUUUCUGGCUCCGGGCUGAGCUUCCUGGAGAAGAGGAAGGUAAGAUACAUGGAAGGGAUGGAGGUGGUGUACACCAUACCUGCCUGGACCUCACUCAUCACUUGGGGAGCUGGUUAAACAUGCAGGUCCCCAGGCCUCUGUCUUGGAGGACCUGAGGUUCAGGGUUGGACCUCAGAGAGGGUGAGAAGCAAAGAUCUUGAUUGACAGGAAGGCACAGGUAAUGUGAAGAACAGGGAGGAACAUACUGGGCAGGGGAAUGGCAAGGGUAGAGGCCCCAGGACAAGAACAGAGUUCUGUUCAAAGAAGAGUGCAGGCCGGGCAUGGUGGUUCACGCUUGUAAUGCCAGCACUUUGGGAGGCUGAGGUGGGCAACUCACGAGGUCAGGAGUUUGAGACCAGCCUGGCCAACACAAAAAAUUAGCUGGGCGUGGUGGUGGGCGCCUGUAAUCCCAGCUACUUGGGAGGCUGAGGCAGAAGAAUCGCUUGAACCCGGGAGGUGGAGGUUGCAAUGAGCCAAGAUCGCACUACUGCACUCCAGCCUCGGUGACACAGCUACACUCCGUCUCCCCUACUCGCCAAAAACAAAAACAAAAAAAAGAGUGCAGAGAACUGGAGGUGGCGGGAAAAGCGCUUGGAUUCUCCUUUGACAUGCUCUUCCCUGGCAAGAUGGAAUCCCUUGGAAAAUUUUAAGUGGAAAAGUGACACGAUUUAUGGCUGAGUGCAGCAGCUCACGCCUGUAAUUCCAGCACUUUGGGAAGCUGAGGCAGGCACUUUGGGAAGCUUUAGGUCAGGAGUUCAAGACCAGCCUCGCCAACAUGGCGAAACCCCCUCUCUACUAGAAAAUACAAAAAUUAGCUAGGCGUGGUGACGUGUCCUUGUAAUCCCAGCUACUCAGGAGACUGAGGUAGGAGAAUCGCUUCAACCCAGGAGGUGGAGAUUGCAGUGAGCCAAGAUCAUGCCACUGCACUCCAGCCUGAGCAAGAGAAAGACUUCGUCUCAAAGAAAAAAAAAGUGAUAUGAUUUAUGUUUUAAAAGGUUCAUCUGAAUUGCAGAAGCUGGAAGCAGAGAGCCCAGUUAGGAGCUACUACAACUAUCCAGGCAAGAAAGACAGUGGCUUGGAUGGGGAUGUGGUAUUGAAAGUGGAGACUAGCAGAGGUACUUGGAAAUGUACAUCUUAUAGCUACCAAGACUUGCUGCUGGUGUGAAUGUUCAGGUAAAAGAGAGAGAAAUCAAGAAUGGCUCUAGGCUGGGUGCAGUGACUCAUGCCUGUAAUCUCAGCACUUUGAGAACCGAGGCGGAUGGAUCACUUGAGCUCAAGAGUUCGAGACCAACCAGUCUGGGCAACACAGCAAGACUCUGUCUCUCCACCCCUCAAAAAAAAGAAAAAAGGAAAGGCAUGACUCUGAGGGUAAAUUCUAGGAAGGCAUGUGGGGUGGGAAAUGGGGCCAGCGGUGUGAUUAAAGAAUGUACAUGGUAGUAGAGGGAUGCAGAUCUAGAUAAUAUUGAAAGGCCAGGACUUGGACUUCUGGGAAUGGGAAACAUGAUAGAAUUAUCUGUAAUUUUCCAGAAUCAAUGACUAGUUGUUUUUUUAAAAAAAGAAUUAUCUGUAAUUGUGUUUUUUGAGACGGAGUCUCACUCUCUCGCCCAGGCUGGAGUGCAGUGGUGUGAUCUCAGGUCACUGCAACCUCCACCUCCCAGGCUCAAGCGAUUCUCCUGCCUCAGCCUCCUGAGUAGCUGGGACUACAGGUGCCCGCCACUAUGCCCGGCUAAUUUUUUGUAUUAUAAUUGUCUCUUAAAGGAAGACAAGGGGCCAGGCGCAUUGGCUCAUGCCUGCAAUCCUAGCACUUUGGGAGGCUGAGGUGGGCGGAUCACAAGGUCAGGAAUUCAAGACCAGCCUGGCCAACAUGGUGAAAGCCUGUCUCUACUAAAAAUACAAAAAUUGGCCCAGAGUGGUGGCAUGCGUCUGUAAUCCCAGCUACUUGGGAGGCUGAGGCAGGAGAAUUGCUUGAACCCAGGAGGCGGAGGUUGCAGUGAGUUGAGAUCGUGCCAUUGCACUCCAGCCUGGGGGACAAGGGCAAGACUCCAUCUCAAAAAAAAAAAAAAAAAAAAAAGGAAGACAAGGUAGUAAUCUAAGUCAUAAAGAUGGUGCUACUGGGUGAAUACUCUCUCCUGCAGCUGUAAGUUGUGUGGGAGCUGAGGCAGCAAGCAAAGGCCUCUAGGGGAGCCGAUCUUGGGUAACUGAGCCGAGGCCCUUCACCUCCCCCAACUGUUUCCUCUUCGUUUGUACCUGGGGUGCGUCUCCGGUCAAUCAGGGAGUCCUUUGGUGUCACUGGCUCAUCAUCAAAAUCAAAUUCCGUGGGCAUGUGUGGUCUGGGACAGGUGAACAUAGUUAAGGGUGAGGGCGGUCCUCCCUCCCACCCACACGUGUGCUUCUCCCCUGCCCGUUCCUCCUCCCCCGCUGGCUUCCCUCCCUCCACUUUCAAAGGUUCCAGCGUCCCACAUUUUCCCCUCCCUAUUUCCUCCCGCCAUCAGGGGAGCAGCCCCGGGACAAGGUGUAAGGGUGUGCCUUUACUUUUCCUCUUCCUCUUCUUUGGCCUCCGGCUCCUCAUCGGAUCUCU
RNAcentral lists this long non-coding RNA (4248 nucleotides) under Homo sapiens (human). RNAcentral's name for it is "HSALNT0229575". Lineage: Eukaryota; Metazoa; Chordata; Mammalia; Primates; Hominidae. The record is from RNAcentral.